This 223-nucleotide long non-coding RNA is filed under the name Elaeis guineensis (African oil palm). Its description in RNAcentral is "long non-coding RNA (EGUI_LNC053178)". The record is from RNAcentral. Lineage: Eukaryota; Viridiplantae; Streptophyta; Magnoliopsida; Arecales; Arecaceae.
AUGGGAUGCUCUUAUAAUGUGUAAGGAUGUCAUGUGAUUAAAUUCCAUAAAGAAGAAUACGAAAGGAAGAACUUAUUUUUCUGCAAUAUCCUUGAUCUUGAAACUCUAAGUUUAUUGUAUGUGAUACAAAGUUGUAUGAAAAAUAAAAUAUCUAAUCUAUAUAAUUAAAAUUAUUUUAAUCAUAAAAAAAUAAAAUCUCGAAUCAUAAAAAUUUUAGAUAUAA